Molecule: non-coding RNA, 144 nt
Organism: Nelumbo nucifera (sacred lotus)
Lineage: Eukaryota; Viridiplantae; Streptophyta; Magnoliopsida; Proteales; Nelumbonaceae
Source: Rfam
GAGAUAAGAGGCAGUCAAGUUAGCCAAGGAGAUUGCCUAUGAACCACAAAAGGGGAUUUUAAGACCUAUCACAGUCCUUUUGUGACACCCUUAGGGAGGAGUACACAGGCAAAUCAUCCUUGGCUAUCAAACAGUCUCUCAUCU